RNAcentral lists this ribosomal RNA (609 nucleotides) under Microbacterium sp. DJM4E6. RNAcentral describes it as "bacterial SSU rRNA". It matches the Rfam family "Bacterial small subunit ribosomal RNA", at positions 835 to 1445 of the family's 1533-position model. The record is from RNAcentral. Lineage: Bacteria; Bacillati; Actinomycetota; Actinomycetes; Micrococcales; Microbacteriaceae.
CGGAUUCCGUGACGCAGCUAACGCAUUAAGUUCCCCGCCUGGGGAGUAUGGCCGCAAGGCUAAACUCAAAGGAAUUGACGGGGACCCGCACAAGCGGCGGAGCAUGUGGAUUAAUUCGAUGCAACGGAAGAACCUUACCAAGGCUUGACAUACACCAGAACACCGUAGAAAUACGGGACUCUUUGGACACUGGUGAACAGGUGGUGCAUGGUUGUCGUCAGCUCGUGUCGUGAGAUGUUGGGUUAAGUCCCGCAACGAGCGCAACCCUCGUUCUAUGUUGCCAGCACGUAAUGGUGGGAACUCAUGGGAUACUGCCGGGGUCAACUCGAAGGAAGGUGGGGAUGACGUCAAAUCAUCAUGCCCCUUAUGUCUUGGGCUUCACGCAUGCUACAAUGGCCGGUACAAAGGGCUGCAAUACCGUGAGNGGAGCGAAUCCCAAAAAGCCGGUCCCAGUUCGGAUUGAGGUCUGCAACUCGACUUCAUGAAGUCGGAGUCGCUAGUAAUCGCAGAUCAGCAACGCUGCGGUGAAUACGUUCCCGGGUCUUGUACACACCGCCCGUCAAGUCAUGAAAGUCGGUAACACCUGAAGCCGGUGGCCCAACCCUUGUG